GGUGCCUGAAAAUAUUUGGCAUGGGUCCCCAGAUUCUCAAAGUUCUACAGCUGCACCAUUGAGAGCAUCCUGACCAGUUGCAUCACCGCAUGGCAUGGCAACUGCUUGGCAUCUGACCGUACAUCCUUCAUCCUGAAAGAGGUGGGAGAGCAUCUGGUCGACGUGAUGAAAGAUGGACAGCAUUUGGCCAGCAGUCCCAUCCCUCUCACCAUCACCCAGUUAGAGAUUGCAGACCCCAGAUGGGUCAAGUUCUUUAGACCAGGGCUCGUGACGGGGAGCGCACUUUUGAAAUGUCAGACUUUGUUGUAGAUAGACAAGAUGCAGGUGAGUCACAAAUCUCCCCCUGAAACAAAAACAUAUCACCAUGUGAAUAUUUUCAGAAAUUCGACUAAGACUUUGUGGCUGAACAAUUUAUCAGCCUAUGGGAGACUGACUCUGGCCAUCAAGGGUCCCAGUACUGUCUAGGUCCAGACGGAGGAUGGGUUCUGUGUCGUCUCCUUCUGCCCCACGGAGCCUGGGGCCUACACCCUCUCAGACAAAUUCACGGAGGAACAUGUGCCAGGUCUGGAUGCCCGACACAUUUCUGCCCAUGUGUCCAGUCCCUCUGGGGCCAUAGAAGAAGCAGACAUCACAACAACAGAAGAUGACAUCUACUCUGAGCUUCAUGCCCAGUGAGACGGGUGUCCAUGCACUUAGUGUGAGCUGAUUUCAGUAUCUGGGCUCGAGGCAGGUGCCGGUAACAAUGGAGGGCCCAGGUCAGGCAGAGCUCACCUUUGAGGACAGGGAAGAUGGCUUCUGUGGGAUCUCCUACAUUGCUCAGGAACCAGGUGAGGCCAUAAAAUCUCCUCCCUCGGUUGACAUACAAGAUUCUACUUGAUUGGUCAAUUCAGAAAGGUGUUAACUUGCUUCUGGUGGGGAUGCAUGGUCCCACUGUGGUGUGAGGACAUGUCAAACACCUUGGCUAUGAUGUCAACUAUGUUAUCAAGGAGGGGGCAGCUAUAUAUUGGCUGUGAAGUGGGGAGAGGAGUAUAUUCCAGGGUCUCCUUUCCAUGUCAUUGCCUCUGUUGGGUGCUCAACGUCGCCGGUUUACUAACCACUGGUCCUGGCAAUCAUCAUUACACAUGCCUGACAUCAUCAUUACGCGCACCUGCGCCUCAUUAUGAGGCACACCUGGACUCACUACACUGAUUACCUCCCCUAUAUCUGUCACUCCCUUGGCUCCAUUGCCCAGGCAGUAUUGGUUAUGUGUUACAUGUCCA
Molecule: long non-coding RNA, 1259 nt
Filed under: Salmo salar (Atlantic salmon)
Lineage: Eukaryota; Metazoa; Chordata; Actinopteri; Salmoniformes; Salmonidae
Description: lncRNA (ENSSSAG00000082423.1)
Source: RNAcentral